GUUUUUAGUAGAGACAGGACUUCACCAUGUUGGCCAGGCUGGUCUCAAAUUCCUGACCUCAAGUGAUGUGCCCACCUCGGCUGCCCAAAGUGCUGGGAUUACAGGCGUGAGCUUCCGUGCCUGGCCUGAACUGCUAAGUGUUUGUGAAGAAUUAUUUGGGGGCCUAUUUGAGAGCUGUUAUAUGGAUCAUCCUCCUGGAGAGGGUUCUUAAGCCUCUGAGACCAGGUUUGGGGCUGAGGCUUUCUGACCCACACAAGUCAUGCUGACCCCUGAAGGGCCGCAGGCCAGAUCUUGCCAGGUGAGCACUUUCCCUGCUCACAUUCAGGAUAGGGCGAGGGGGUUGGUACUGAUUCACCCUGAGGGCCUAGAUUUGGGGGCUUCAGCUUGCUGCAGAUAGGUGCUCCCUUCACUCUCACCUGAGGCUGGGCUGGAGCCUGGUGUCUGCCCCACCCUGCUGGUCAGCCCCCCAGGACCUGAGCCCCGUAAGCCUGGACUGGCCACGCCCUGGGGCAGCAGCACUGGGUGCUUGGCGCUCACGACCUUCCUGGGCCCCUGCGUCCCUCACUUCUCCCUUGUUUCUACCUUCCUGGCUUGUCAGAUUCCCACAGCUCUUAAGGAGAAAUUCAGUAUUUACUGCGGCAUGUGUUUUCAGUGUGAUGGUUCGUCCAGGUACCCUAGCCUGUCAUUGCUGGAGUUGGAAAUCUCUGUUGUCUGCUGUUGUUUUGUGAAACAAGCGUGUGAGGUUAUAAGUUUCCCUCAACGUACCACACUAACCACAUUUCCCUAAGUUUUGAUGUGUAGUGUUUUCACUGCCAUUCAGUUCAAAAUAUUUUCUCAUUUCAAGUAUGAUGUCUUCUUUGA
RNAcentral lists this small RNA (861 nucleotides) under Pan troglodytes (chimpanzee). RNAcentral describes it as "sense overlapping". The record is from RNAcentral. Lineage: Eukaryota; Metazoa; Chordata; Mammalia; Primates; Hominidae.